UGGGGAAUCUUGCACAAUGGGGGCAACCCUGAUGCAGCGACGCCGCGUGAGCGAUGAAGCCCUUCGGGGCGUAAAGCUCUUUCGACCGGAACGAUAAUGACGGUACCGGGAGAAGAAGCUGCGGCUAACUACGUGCCAGCAGCCGCGGUAAUACGUAGGCAGCAAGCGUUGUUCGGAGUUACUGGGCGUAAAGAGUGCGUAGGCGGUUUUCUAAGUUCGGUGUGAAAUCUCCCGGCUUAACUGGGAGGGUGCGCCGAAGACUGGGAAGCUGGAGUGGGGGAAAGGCAGGCGGAAUUCCUGGUGUAGCGGUGAAAUGCGUAGAUAUCAGGAGGAACACCCGCGGUGUAGACGGCUUGCUAGACCAUAACUGACGCUGAGGCACGAAAGCGUGGGUAGCAAACA
Molecule: ribosomal RNA, 402 nt
Filed under: uncultured bacterium
Lineage: Bacteria
Description: bacterial SSU rRNA
Rfam family: Bacterial small subunit ribosomal RNA
Source: RNAcentral